UUUUUUUUUCCCCCCGGUACUGGCAGUCGAAUUCAUGACCUUGCGCUUGCCAGCCAAGUGUUUAUGCCCCUGAGCUAAGUCCCUGGCCCCAACUCCUUCUCUUUGUGGCUAAGAAAUAUCACAGGGAACAUUUGUACCAUCCCCAUCUUUUGUUUGGUCUUUUUGAGACAGAGUUUUGCUAUGCAGUUCAGGCUGGCCUUAGGCACACUUUGUAGCUCAGGCUGGUCUUGAACUUGCAAGGAUCCUCCUGCCUCAGCCUCCUGAGUUCUGGGAUUACAGGCAUGUGACACCACGCCCGGCUGUACCCUUAAAGUGUAAAUAUUAAAUGUGGUAAAGCAUAGAACUUUCUAGAGCAUGGUGUGUAGUGAGUGCUUGAAAUUGUGUCGCCUUUUCAUCGUCGCCAUGCUCACGCCUCUGUUCCCUGUGCUCCUUCUCUGUGGCUUGGUACUUCCCUUGUUUCUUCAUUGUCUUCCUCUGACAUGCUCCACCCCAGCGGGGUGCUUCCUCACAUCACGCUUGGCUGGCCAUUCAGAAUAGUUGUGGCCCUAAGUUUGCCAGAGAGCAAUGUGAUGCCUCUCAGCACACUGGAGUCAGGGUGGAGGCAGAGCUGCUGGGACUCAGGGGCUGAGACAAGGCCACACUAACAGAAUCCUGGAAGGGUUCCUGUGUGCAAGGUGUGUCUGCUUUAAGGUGCCCUUGGGAGGCCCUGUUGGCCCACAUCGCUGGGGGGCAGAAUGGAGAAGGACCCCCCUGGCGGAGCCCUCGGUGUGGUUCCCCCGAGGGUGGGCUGGGUUGCUGCACCAAGCAACCUUUCAGAGCUCCCACAGGGAAGCCUGGGCUGGGAGGAGAGCACCACGGCUGCUGUGGGAUGCUCUGCGCCCGUGAGUUGGGGGCAUAGAGCUGAGCCCCGCUGUUUCCGCAGCCAGCGUCCCUUGUCGCCGGGUGCCUGGGCACUGCUACUGGGCCCCUUCUUGCUUUAUUUACAGGAUGGCUGUUCUUGGCAGCUCUCUCCACCUCCCAGACUUUUCCUCUGCUUUGGAGCAUUUGACUCUAUUUUUACUCAGAAAGAGGAAAGCUCCCCUGUUUGAAAAUAGCUGUCAUGGAGAGGACCUCUGUACCCACUGCUCUUGCUUGCUUGGCAGUGGUCCUGUGUACACUGUGCACAGGGCACAGGCAGGAUGCACAAGCACAGCCUGUGACAUGUCCCCCCCACCAUAUCUGGGAAGUAAAAGCCCCUCUUCCUGGAUUGUGACCGAAUGGGGAUGACGGAGCUGUAGCUGGCUCCCUCCCUUGGAGAAGCUUCUGGGCUGUAGGAGGUAAGGAGAAGAGUUCCACAUGGAUGGCGGCCGGAGGCUGGGAGAGCCACGGAGGCAGCCUCUCCAUCCCGAUCCGUGUCACCCCCGUCUUCCCAGCCACCGUGAGCCUUCUUUCUCUGACGUUCUGCCACUAUCCAGAGGCGGGUUCCUUGGUCCUGACGCAGACCGUCAAACCAGCUCCUUCGCUGAAUUCCAGGUGCAGCCCAGGUGUUGCUGCCCCCAGUUUCCUACGAGAGACCAGUUUAGGUCUGUGACAGCUCUUGCUGCAGGGAGCUGGGAAAGAGGGUUGAUGCCCUUGUCUUGAGGCAAAGAAUGUAAGUGGGGAGAUGCAGGGAGCAGGGGGUGUCCUUCCUUUCUCCCGGGGUGUGUCCAGAGCAGGUCUGGAGACUCUCGGGUGAAAAGAUGCAGCACCUCGGUCAGGGUUAAGUUUGUAGGUGUUGGCGCUGGCAACAUGUGAAAACCCCAACAAAGGAAAAGGAAAGUGUGUUUGUGUGUGACAUGCAGUUCCUUGGUGGGCUGGGAAAACCAAGAGAGGGCGUGCUGAGCUGUGUGGCCAGCCUGGGCGGGGUGCGCCCUCGAGGUAGAGCUUCAAAUCCGGGCAGCGGGAACCCUGGCUGUGAGGGAGAGAUGGAUGCCGCCUGCCACCAAGCAUUCUCCUUGUGCGCUGGGGCCCUGGCCGUGCAGCUGCUGGGGCCGGAACUGCCGGUAACCUCUGGUUUUCAUAAUCGACAUGAGCACCCCUGAAACGCGCCUGGUGUUGGUGAGGCUGGGGGAAUCGGGGCCCCCCAGAUGGCCAUGUGGCAGGUACUGUGCCAACGAGGAGGGAAGGGUAUAUCCUGGGACAUGGGACCCACCGGUCUGGGGCCACAUCUCCUCUUUAUUUUACAGGUGGAGAGCUCAGCCUGAGUUCUCCCAGCUAUCAGGUGGGGAGCUAGGAUUUGUAACUGGGGGUAAAUGAGUAAGGUGGGUAACUUGUUGCCGGGGCCUUGAAAGCGGUGGCGGUGGAAGGGAGAUGGGGAAUGACAUUAAGGGAGAUGGGGUGUCAUAGCUUGUGUUUAGAUAUCACCCCCCAAGCCUCAUGCAGUCUUGGUGGGAUGUUUUCAGAGCUAGCUGUGUCUACAGUGUGUGACGCUGGAUUAAGGAAGUGUGAUUACUAAAUCAGUCCAGUGCGUGGUUUGGCACUGCCCUAACCCCAGGAGCUUAGACAGAGUAUAAAAGGGGCAGAAGAAAAUUGCUAAGUGUCCUUGUUGCUUGGCUACCUUUGGCCAGCCAUGAACUGUUCUCUUCUGUGAUGCCGCUGGGCCGUGUGCCACCCUGUCUUGGAGCCAGCCAGUUAUGGACUGAAACCUCUAUAAACUGUGAGCUAAAUAAACUUCUUCUCCUUUAACUUUUGGUAUUGGGUAUUUUGUCUCAGCAAUGAAAAAGGAACUAAGACAUAGGAUUUCUUCUAGGAAUGAUCAAAAUGUCCAAAAGUUCACCAUGGCGAUGGUUGACCCUCUGUGAUUAUACUGAAAACCACUGAAAUGUAUACUUUAAAUAGGUGAAUUAUAUGGUAUGUAAAUUAUAUCUCAAUAAAGUUGUAUUGAAAAUACAAAUUUCAUUGAAUCUAAAAACAAAGUUAGGGCUGUGUCUUGGUUGCUUUGCUCUUGUUUAGACAAAAUAGCUGACACUCAAAAUGAAGGAAGGGAAGGUUUAUUUAUAUCUUAGUUUUUGGAGGUUUCAGCCCAUAAUCAGCUGGCUCCAAUGCAGGGUGGCUGGCUAAGGGGCAACACUUCAAAGGAGCAGCCAGAGCAAAAGGGAAAGGGAACAAGAUCUUCUCCUGGUUUAUAUUGUACACAGCUCCCCUCUUCCUCCACAGGGGUGUAGCACUCAUAAACUCUCCUUGCCCUGGAGGAUGAGGAUAUUUACAAAGAAGAACCCUGGCUCCCUGCUGAGUCUCUCAGUUAACUACUCAAGUUGACACAAUGUAUCAACCGUAACAGACUGGGAAUAUAGCUCAGCAGAAUGGUGCUUGCCUGGGAAGCAUGAGGUCAUGAGUUCAAUUCCCAGUAUUUAAAUGAAAACGAUAAUAAAAAUAAAGUGAACAGAGGGUCUCUAUUCCAAACCUCAUGAUAAGGAAAAGGGAUGCCUGUCACACUCGCAUUUGUGCCCCACCCAAGAGGAGCUCAAGAGGUACAGUGGUUGUAGAACAGAACUGAGCAGUAUUAAUGUUUGUAAAGGAAGCAUGUGAGUGAAUACAUAAGGGUUUAGAUUUUAGCUAACGAGGCAGACUGAUUAAAUUUGAAUUGAGUCCUUGUCUUCUUCCCGUUUACCUGUGAAAGCUUCACAAUAGCUGGAUAUUUUCUGUUGUGCUCAGCUCCAUAUCCUGUCUGUAGGGGAGCUGAGUAGGUAGUCACUGAAUGAAUUCAAGCAACAGGGUCAUGUCUGUUUAAGAAAGCAAAGUUAGAGUGAUGAACUAUUUCUCCAGAGCGGGGAAGAGGGAGGAAAGUGCUUAUUCCAUGUUGCUGUUUUAUCAGAUCCUUUUUGCUUGUGCCAUUCCAGUUAUUUACAAGAACCCAAACUGCCUGUGCAGGGUAAACUGAGGCUUAGCCAUGGGUCACUUAUGUCCAGGAGUUCCUAAGUUAGCCAUCGUGGCACACACUUACAGUGCCAGCACUUGGAGGCUGAGGCAGGAGGAUUACAAGUGUGAGCUUACAAUUUAGUGAGACUACUACACAGCUGAGUGAGGCCUUGCCUCAAAAUAGAAAUAAAACGCUCUGGGGAUGCAGCUCAGUGCAAAGGGCCCGGGAUUCAGUAUACAUUACUAAAGGUGUGUGUGUGUGUGUGUGUGUGUGUGUGUGUGUAUGUGUGGUACUUCCUGAAUGAGCUCUUGGCCAUUCAUCCAGCUGCCAGCUGACCUGCUUUUAGCUUUGCUGCCCACCCAGGUCCUGCAUUUGCAGUUCACUUUGAGACCCGAAUCCAGGACUGUGAUCUGUCUACUGAUCUGCCCUGCCCAGUGUCCCUGCCAGUCCGUGUGGACUGGAAAUUAUUUUAGAAGCCAGUUUGCUUCUUGGAGCCUCUCCCUGUCUACUCUUCAUGGCUUGUUUCUAACCAAUAAGAUACAGCACAAAUAAUGGGCUGUCUCCUCCACGAUUAGGUUAUAAAUGACCUUGGCUUCUGUCUCAGCAGCUCUUCUGCUUUGGUGACUGUCAUGGAGCAGGGAGCCAUGUUGGGGAGGCCUACGUGAACUAGCAAAAGAGGCCUUCAACCCCUGACCGGCGCAGCCCCCCAAUGAGACAGAGGACGCUCUUGUGGGUAACAGCUGGUGGUGAAAGAAGCGUGCUUCAUUCAUAUCUUUUUGACCCCCUUUCACCACUCCCAGUGCCCGUUCCCACUUUCUCGGGCUGGAGAUGCCCGUGUGCCCGUUGGUGUAACAGCGCUCUACGCCGUAGCACAAGAGCUCACCAUGUCAGAUGAGAUGACUUGAUGCCGCUCCUCAGAUGUCCCCCAGGCAUUUCCGGGAAUGCCCAGGGUUGGUCCCUGAGAGCUUCGGCACUAUCUGCUUUGAUUCUUCCAUUCAGCCUGAAGAAAUUUCUUUUUUUUAAACUUUUUUUUUAUCGGUACCAGGGAUCGAACUCAUGACCACCUGGUUGCAAGGCAGGUACUUAUGCCACUGAGCUAAAUUGCCAGCCCCUAGCCUGAAGAAAUUUCCAUGAAGCAUGCUGGCACAACAGCAAAGACUGGCUACGGUGACUUUUCUUCCGAUAGCUUGUCCUGCGUCGUCAGGAUGUGCUUUUGUCUUGCUUUUUCCUCUUCAUUCAGCCCCAAGCUCACUCCGCAAAGAUAAUUUCUCACUCUUCACUUUGCCUUUUCAAAUAAAUUUGGCUACUGCUAAAAACAAAGCAAAACAAAACAAAACAAAACAAAAGCAAACAAAAAAACAGCAAAGACUAUGUGUAGGCCAUUUCCCUUUUACCUAGCAACAAUUUUCAAGCACAGUGUUCUCAAACCAUCCUCAGGCAACAUACACACACACUCACACACACACACACACAUGCACACACGUGCACACACACGCACACGCGUGCACACACACACAGUGCACACACAACGUUCUCCUGGGGGAGGAGAGAUCCCUGAAGAGAUUUGACUCUACCAAAGAAGUAUAGACACCCUGUUACAUUAUGAUAAGAAACAACUUUGCUAGAGCAUUUCCUGCUUAACAUUUUCAUAAUAUUAAUGAAACUGGCAGGUGGUUUGUCCAAGAAUAAAGGGAGAGUCCCAGUCUUCACUUAUUGCAAAACAGAAAACUGCUCUCAGCUUUCAAAGGCAGCUUUAAUAAGUUUGUUUCUUCAGUCUCUACCAUGCUCUGCCUUCUGGAAGGAGCCAGCUCCUCUUAAGCACUUAGUGAGGGUCUGCAAACAGCCUGGGUGCUGGCAGAGAGAGCUCCGUGACUCUCAGCUCGGCUCUAGGGAUCCCUGUGCCUGCCCUCUGCACCGCAGGGCCUCUUUUACCCAGAGUAACAACUAGGGGAAGUGCUUUGAUGAGAUGUGGGUACUUGUGCUCAAUCAUAAUUUAUAAAGACAAGGUAGAUCUCAUCUGUGUGCUGAGUAUGGCCUAAGCUAGGAACAAAAAUGAACAGGGUGAAAUAGGAUAUUCCACUUUAUUCAUUGCAAAGGAGCUAUCUGGUGAUCAGAACUUUAACCAUGUGCUCCAAGCUGGUCACUGACAGUGGAACACCUGACCCGUGGAUUCUGAUGGCAUGCCCCACUCAGGAUAAAGCAUUCCCCCGCCUUUUAUGGACUGGGAACCAAAUUCAGUGCCUCGCCCUUGCCAGGCAGACGCUGUGCUGCUGAGCUAUAUCCCUGGCCCAAGGCAUCACUUUUGAAAUAAUUUUUCCAAUAAUGUUUAAUCUGAACCACCCAACCUCUAGUAGACAGGAAACAUGAAUGAUAGAGAAACAAGUUCACCUGCGUCAUGCACACCAGCUGAGUCAAGCUGACUGGGUAGAACCUUGGCUGUGUUUACUAGCUGUAAAUCCAGGAGUGAUCUGGCUUUUCUGGGACUCAGUUUUCUCUCCUGUAAAGUGAGUCUAAUUCAAGUUCCUUCCUGAACAGUUCAGAUCUGGCCUUGCUGAGUAAUGAUGCAUUGGAAUAAGAAAUUAAGACAUCUGAGUUACAGCUCAGUGGUGGAGCACUUGCCUUAGCGUGCAUGAGUUUGAUCCCCAGCACCACCAAGAAAGAAAGAAAAACAUAAACAUGCACAAAAGGCAGUGUGAUAUUUGUGACAUUCUGUAAGAAAAAUGACCUGAAUUCUUCAGAAAGUCUCUAUCUAAAAUAAAAGGAAAAAAGUUGGGGGAUUGUUCUUUAUUAAAUGAGACUAAAGAAAAAUAACCUAAUGCAAUAUUAUUUAAGUCUUAAUUUGAAUCUAGUUGGAAAAAUGAAACAAAACCUAUAGAAAAAGAUACUUUUGGGAGCAACUUGAAUAUGAAGUGGAUAUUAAAUGAUGUUAGGAAACUGUAUUGUUAUUGAUAGUAUUAUUGUUCUUCCCUUUUUAAUCUAAUUUUCAUUGAAUCCAGUGUUCAAAAAUGCUAAGCAAGUGCUCUACUACUGAACUACAUCCCUAGCUCUUUUAAAGUUUUAUUUUGAGACACCUUCUAAGUCACUCAAAUUGGCCUUGGACUUGGAAUCCUUUUGCCUCAGCCUCCCAAGUAGCUGGGAUUACAGUUGUACAGCACUAUACCCGGCUGUAAAAGAUGUUCUUGUUUUGGGGAAAUGUUUUCUGAAAUAAUUUGUGGUCAGGUGUCUUGUACAAUUCAUUGUCAAGUUGUUCAGCAAAAUUUCAGAAAUCUUAACAAAUAAUGAAUACGAAUUAAGUCCUUCCUACUGUCCACUUCAACUUUUUGACACUUUUAGUAAAGAUUGAAGACAAAUAACAUUUUUCCUUCAAAUUUUCCUUUUAUUCUAUGUAUAGUCUUCAGUUUAUAAUAGUUUGGCUUACUUUUUGGACUUCUUGAUGGUGUGAAAGUGGCAUAUUUAGUAGAAACCGUACUCUGGCCCUGUGGGUUGAAGUGGCUGGGUUUGAACUUCUGUUCCUCCUACCUCAGCCUCCCAGGGGGCUGAGCUUACCGGGAUGUGCGGACACACCUGGCUUGCUGUUAUUAUCAAGAGGUACAUGCAGCAGUGGCGGGGACCAGUGUUCCAGGCAGCACUGGGGUUACAGUUCUCAGCCUAUCUACUUCUACCAUUUUUUUUUGUCUUUUUCCUUUUUAUCGGUACCAGGGAUCGAACUCACGACUGCCUGCUUUCAAGGCAGGCGCUUAUGCCGCUGAGCUAAAUCCCCAACCCCCUACUUCUACCAUUAACCAAGUGACUCUGGCUGAGUCUCCUAUAAUUUACUUUCUAUUACACACCUGUCACUGUGCUCAAGCUUUAUUUAUUUAUUUGUCAGAUUUUUUGAGACAAGGUCUCACUGUGUAGUUUAGGUUGGCCUUGAAAUAUGUAGCUCAUGCUGGCCAAACUCACAGUAAUCUUUCUGCCUCAGCCUCCCAAGUGAUAGGUUACAGGCAUGCACCACUGUGCAUAACCAUCAGAGAAGCCAAGGACCACAUAAGCCUUUCCUCAGAGAGCUGCUGAUCCAGUUGAGAGACAUCUUUCAACAGCUCCCAGUAAAACAAAGAGGAAGAAAAUCAGAAUCAUGGUUCCAGAAAGUUCCAUUAAUUCUGUCACAGGAUUAGGGAGGGGGAUUCGUAGAAAAGGCAGUUUUUGCUCCUCAGGAUUUUGAUAAGCAAGGAUGGAUGGUGUUCACAGAGAAUCCUAAUGACUAGGGAGGUUGCAUGGUUUUCUCAUGGUUGUAGACUGCUGUUCUAUAUUUGGUUUGGUCUCAGAAUUUGGCCUCUGAGCUUGACAUUCUUCUAUUUGAGGCACAAGAAAGGCUUCCUGUCUGUUGGCUGGGAAGGAAAGUGCUUGCUUAGUACUGGUGCCAACUCUGCUUUGAUUUGAGACCUGCACUGAUGGAUCUUUGAACAUGUGACCAUCCCAUUGCUAUUUGAUUCACGAAAAGUUGAAAAAGGAGAAAGAAAUUCUUAAGCCACAAAGCCCAGGAUACCGUUCCCACUCUUCUCCAUAUGGGGCAGCAGGUUCUGAAUCACAGCACGGCUAUGCUAAGAGGUGAAGGCACAGCUGUAAUUUUAAAAGUCAAACGCUAUCUUUGUUAUUAACUACAGGUUUAAUAAAUGCUGUCCAAUGAUUGACUCUA
Cavia porcellus (domestic guinea pig) is the source of this 8552-nucleotide long non-coding RNA. RefSeq lists it as uncharacterized. The record is from RefSeq and is a predicted model, not a curated record. The transcript has 2 exons. Lineage: Eukaryota; Metazoa; Chordata; Mammalia; Rodentia; Caviidae.